This 905-nucleotide ribosomal RNA is filed under the name Eutypella virescens. RNAcentral describes it as "LSU rRNA". It matches the Rfam family "Eukaryotic large subunit ribosomal RNA", at positions 36 to 964 of the family's 3401-position model. The record is from RNAcentral. Lineage: Eukaryota; Fungi; Ascomycota; Sordariomycetes; Xylariales; Diatrypaceae.
UAGCAUAUCAAUAAGCGGAGGAAAAGAAACCAACAGGGAUUGCCCUAGUAACGGCGAGUGAAGCGGCAACAGCUCAAAUUUGAAAUCUGGCCUUCGGGUCCGAGUUGUAAUUUGUAGAGGAUGCUUUUGGUGCAGUGCCUUCCGAGUUCCUUGGAACAGGACGCCUUAGAGGGUGAGAGCCCCGUACGGUUGGACACUAAGCCUCUGUAAAGCUCCUUCGACGAGUCGAGUAGUUUGGGAAUGCUGCUCUAAAUGGGAGGUAAAUUUCUUCUAAAGCUAAAUACCGGCCAGAGACCGAUAGCGCACAAGUAGAGUGAUCGAAAGAUGAAAAGUACUUUGAAAAGAGGGUUAAAUAGCACGUGAAAUUGUUGAAAGGGAAGCGUUUAUGACCAGACCUUUGCCGGGCGGAUCAUCCGGUGUUCUUCACCGGUGCACUUCGCUCGGCUUAGGCCAGCAUCGAUUUCUGUAGGGGGACAAAGGCCAUGGGAACGUAGCUCUCUUCGGGGAGUGUUAUAGCCCUAGGUGUAAUACCCUUACGGGGAUCGAGGUUCGCGCUUCUGCAAGGAUGCUGGCGUAAUGGUCAUCAACGACCCGUCUUGAAACACGGACCAAGGAGUCGAACAUUUAUGCGAGUGUUUGGGUGUUAAACCCUCACGCGUAAUGAAAGUGAACGGAGGUGAGAGCCCUUUUUGGGUGCAUCAUCGACCGAUCCUGAUGUAUUCGGAAGGAUUUGAGUAAGAGCAUAACUGUUCGGACCCGAAAGAUGGUGAACUAUGCGUGGAUAGGGUGAAGCCAGAGGAAACUCUGGUGGAGGCUCGCAGCGGUUCUGACGUGCAAAUCGAUCGUCAAAUCUGCGCAUGGGGGCGAAAGACUUAUCGAACCAUCUAGUAGCUGGUUACCGCCGA